Bolinopsis microptera is the source of this 1452-nucleotide long non-coding RNA. RefSeq lists it as uncharacterized. NCBI's taxonomy places the organism in Eukaryota, Metazoa, Ctenophora, Tentaculata, Lobata, Bolinopsidae. The transcript is spliced from 4 exons. The record is from RefSeq and is a predicted model, not a curated record.
AAUUUAGGUGAAUGAAUGAAUCUACUGGUUAGUGGUGAAGACACAGUUUUAACACUUUAUUUGGAGUGAUCCAAUCUAAGCCAGGCAAGUGAGGGAAAUGAUUUUAUUUUAAACCUGCUACACCAAGUUGAUACUUUCGUGCGAGCAGCUAGGCUCCGAUGGUUUGGCCAUGUGGUGAGGAUGCCAGAAGAAAGAAUACCCUACUAUCUUUUGCACUGGAUCCCAAAGCAUGGCAAAAGGUCAAGAGGUAGACCUCGGAAAAACUGGUUGUCAUGUGUCCGGGAGGAAGCAGCAAUCUUCACACUUCACAGUUGUCGAUAACAUCACGAUAGAAGAUGCAGAACAACAAGCAACAAACAGGGUACAUUGGAGCGGCCUAAUACAUCGGUGAAAGGAGUGACUAUGUGGUGCAGGCCACUCCAACGACUAGGAGGAGACCUUUUCAAGUACAAAUGAGUGUAAUGAUGAAUUCAAUAAUUUCAAAAGCGACGGAGGGAUGGAUUCCUCAUCAACUCAGUAUAGAAAUAGAGAGAAAGAGAUUGCGCUGACUGAAGAAGUGGUGACUGGACGAUUCAGAAAUACAAAUCUCCCCCAAAUCUGUACAACACCUUAACAAUUUUAGUUUGAUAGCCCUUAUACAACUCCCUCCGACACACACCAUUUGGGAGUUAAUUCUGCCACAAAAGAAAAACAUGAACCGAUGAGCUGGUUCACUACCCCUCAGCCCUCUUCGACUGUCGAAGAAAUCUUUCAUCUCGCUGCACGCAACAAUCAACAUAGAAGAACUUGUUUUAAUUCUAUGCGCUAACAUUUUGCAGAAUAGGUCUAAAAUACUGUAGGAGAGACGGAACUAUUCCAGUAACUUUCUUGAUCAGCUUUGAAUAGUAUUUCAACAACAUUGGCGAAGUCCAGUUUGCUUGGUUAAAUUUCAAAAUUAUACUGGCUCUACUUGAUGGAAGGCGCGAAUGUAAUGUUCAUGAAUUGUAAGAAAAGCAAGCAAUGUCAGUUAAGAGUUAACUUUUUAUAUCAUGCAUGUACUGUAAGCAAUUCAUUUCAUGCAUAAUAAUGACCCAACCGCAGUCUUUUUUAUUGCACUGGCCAGCAACAGAAGAGGAAACGCUACAAUGGAUCAAAUCUUGGUUUGCGUAUCUGAAAUGACUCCAGUUGCGUGCGUUUCUAUUAUGAACACAAGACUACGGUGUUUAUCCGUCUAUAUCUCCUAAUCUGCUCGUGGGACACUCCUCAAAUUUUGUAUACUAUUGGUUCAAAAGAUUUCUGACAAAUCUGUACAAUUUCCAAUGCUGUCCACCGAGCACUUUUCUCGCAAUAGUCUGUUGAAAAUCGCAAAAUUGAGGCCAAUGACGUGUCUGUAGUAAUGUGAAUGAUGGGAGUAUUGUAUUUGUGUUAGUGUUUUAAUCUAACUACUGAAUUUAUUUGUUUAUCUCAAUAAGA